AUUUUCGAUUUAUGGAUUCUUCCUUCAUGAAAAGAUGGCCAAACAACCCAUUGUGGGACAUGGGGUGAGGACCACUAAUGUACUUGUCCUGAUACAUUUUGAUGUAUGCAGCUCAUUUGAUGAGCUGGACAAAGGGUGAUUCUCUUUACUUUAUUAUUUAUAUUGGUGACUGUUCAUAGUAUGGGUAUAUGUAUGAGACAUAAAUCUGAAAUCUUAAAAAAUUUAAAAAAUUCAAAUAUGAAGUAAAGAAAUAAAUUGAAAAGCUCUUAGAGUUUUUU
This 278-nucleotide long non-coding RNA is filed under the name Elaeis guineensis (African oil palm). Its description in RNAcentral is "long non-coding RNA (EGUI_LNC033779)". Lineage: Eukaryota; Viridiplantae; Streptophyta; Magnoliopsida; Arecales; Arecaceae. The record is from RNAcentral.